CGUGCGAUACAGGGUGACAGCCCCGUACACAAAAAUGCACAUAUUGUGAGCUUGAUGAGUAGGGCGGGACACGUGGUAUCCUGUCUGAAUAUGGGGGGACCAUCCUCCAAGGCUAAAUACUCCUGACUGACCGAUAGUGAACCAGUACCGUGAGGGAAAGGCGAAAAGAACCCCGGCGAGGGGAGUGAAAAAGAACCUGAAACCGUGUACGUACAAGCAGUGGGAGCACGCUUAGGCGUGUGACUGCGUACCUUUUGUAUAAUGGGUCAGCGACUUAUAUUCUGUAGCAAGGUUAACCGAAUAGGGGAGCCGAAGGGAAACCGAGUCUUAACUGGGCGUUAAGUUGCAGGGUAUAGACCCGAAACCCGGUGAUCUAGCCAUGGGCAGGUUGAAGGUUGGGUAACACUAACUGGAGGACCGAACCGACUAAUGUUGAAAAAUUAGCGGAUGACUUGUGGCUGGGGGUGAAAGGCCAAUCAAACCGGGAGAUAGCUGGUUCUCCCCGAAAGCUAUUUAGGUAGCGCCUCGUGAAUUCAUCUCCGGGGGUAGAGCACUGUUUCGGCA
RNAcentral lists this ribosomal RNA (564 nucleotides) under Shigella sonnei. RNAcentral's name for it is "partial 23S ribosomal RNA". It matches the Rfam family "Bacterial large subunit ribosomal RNA", at positions 351 to 920 of the family's 2925-position model. The record is from RNAcentral. Lineage: Bacteria; Pseudomonadati; Pseudomonadota; Gammaproteobacteria; Enterobacterales; Enterobacteriaceae.